This 886-nucleotide non-coding RNA is filed under the name Symbolophorus californiensis (bigfin lanternfish). Its description in RNAcentral is "partial 12S rRNA". It matches the Rfam family "Bacterial small subunit ribosomal RNA", at positions 237 to 1527 of the family's 1533-position model. The record is from RNAcentral. Lineage: Eukaryota; Metazoa; Chordata; Actinopteri; Myctophiformes; Myctophidae.
ACCCCCGUGAGAAUGCCCUCAAAAUCCCGCCCGGAAACGAGGAGCAGGCAUCAGGCACACCCCCGUAGCCCAAGACGCCUUGCUAGGCCACACCCCCAAGGGACUUCAGCAGUAAUAAAUAUUAGGCAAUUAGUGCAACCUUGACCUAACUACGGCUAAUAGGGCCGGUAAAACUCGUGCCAGCCACCGCGGUCAUACGAGUGUGCCCGAGUAGACAGCCGGCGGCGUAAAGCGUGGUUAAGGAGAAACCCAACUAAAGAUGAACCGCCCCCUGGCUGUUAUACGCACCCGAGACUGUGAAACCCCACUACGAAAGUGACUUUAAUCUGACCCGAACCCACGAAAGCUAAGGAACAAACUGGGAUUAGAUACCCCACUAUGCUUAGCCAUAAACACCGAUGGGCACCCCACAACACCCAUUCGCCCGGGAACUACGAGCAUUAGCUCCAAACCCAAAGGACUUGGCGGUGCUUUAGACCCACCUAGAGGAGCCUGUCCUAGAACCGAUAACCCCCGUUCAACCUCACCACUUCUAGCCCAACCCGCCUAUAUACCACCGUCGUCAGCUUACCCUGUGAAGGAUCCAUAGUAAGCUAAACUGGCUCGCCCCAAAACGUCAGGUCGAGGUGUAGCGCACGAAGUGUGCAAGAGAUGGGCUACAUUUUCUGACCCAGAAAAAUACGAAAGAAGUAAUGAAAAACCUUCCGAAGGAGGAUUUAGCAGUAAUCAGGGAGCAGAGCGCCCUGCUGAAGCUGGCCAUUAAGCGCGUACACACCGCCCGUCACUCUCCCCAAGUCUAGCCAUACCACAACAUAUGAAACAAACCUGAUAAAGGGGAGGCAAGUCGUAACAUGGUAAGUGUACCGGAAGGUGCACUUGGAAAACA